AGAAUGGUUUUUUUAAAAACCAUAAUUUUUUUAUUAUAAUGCUUG
Molecule: non-coding RNA, 45 nt
Organism: Pongo abelii (Sumatran orangutan)
Lineage: Eukaryota; Metazoa; Chordata; Mammalia; Primates; Hominidae
Source: Rfam